UUACGGGCAGGGUGGGGCGGGGGAGCUCUCAAAGAAACAGGUUGUCGACCAUCUCUGAAGUUUGGGGACACCUGGGGACACAGCCCGGUGCAGUGGCAGGGUCUGGGGCUCUCUGUCCCCCUUUUUGGGACAGAGCCAGAUGCCAGGGUGAAGGCAGUGGGCACCCAGCUGCUGUCGGUGCGGCACCCCUCCCGAGCCUUUCCCUGCAUUUGGUGGUGGCUCGGGGCUCAGGGUGCUCCCAGCCCGCUUUGCUCCUCUCCCCUCCUAGUGGCUGUGUGUCACCGCCUGGCAGAGACCCUUCGCGAGGACCCCGGAUGCUGAGCUCCAGAAUCCAUUUGAAUCGCCGUGAUGCGUCACCUCUGGUGGGUCCCACGGAUUGGAUGCCGAUUGGCUACGCCCGUAGGUGAGCUUGUUGGAGUCUUUCUUCUGCCUCGCAGCUGCACCAAAGGCCGACUGGCCUGGAGGGCAGGCGAGGAAGCGGUCUGGAGACCCGCAACAGGACACGGUUCCCCAGGUGGCCCAAGGACCCCCCAGCCACCCUCCUGCGUGACGAGCUGCCACUUGGGGUUGGCAGGAUUCUCUUGCACUGGGUCACAGAGCCCUUGAGGGCAGGGGCCUUAGGCCGUUUACCUCAUCACUGUUUGUCAGCACAGGGCACAGAGCACAGCCUGUGCAGAAGUUUGACAAAUGAAGGAGUGAGUGAUUUCUGGAAACACAAAGCUAACCUCUGCAGGGGAGACAUCUGCCAGGUUUCCUAGCUUCCCGUAAAGCGAGCGUGCUGCCAGGGCGUUUCUUGGCCUCUGCUCCUGGGGCCUCACUAAGUGCUCACCACCCUCCCUAGAGCCUCCUGAAAGAAGCUUCCAUCCAAGAGGAGAGCAGGUGCAGUGGCCUGGGGGUCAGAGGCCGGCUGGCCAGUGCUGGCUCUGCUCCCACCAGCCCGUGGGUCCGGCCAUGGGGUUCCUGGAGGCAGAUGAGCGGCUCCCGUUGGUGGCUCAAGGCACCAAAGCCCCUCAACUGUGACGCCCGGGCUGGACCUCUUCCCCAGAGCUGGGCAACGCCCAGGGGCUCGGCCCGCAUUGUGGUCCGCUGGUCUACCUUUCCGGGCAGCACCUGCAGAAGGUCCCCAGCAUUGAGUUAUUGCUCUGGGUUCAUCCCUUCCCUUCUCUUCCAUUGUGUGAAGUCCAUUAUCAGAUUCGGGGAAGCCAACCGGCGAGAACCGAGGCUGGUUCCCAGAGCUCAUUCCUUCCUAUGCCAGGCGGCCUGUUCUCACAGAGGAAAGUGAAAGGAGGUGGCCCCCUGGGGUAGUGGGGGCUGCGCAGUGCUUCUCAGCCUGGGGGAACCCCUUCCCCUGAGGACCUCUGGCCUCGUCUGGAGACAUCCUUGGUUGUCACGACUGCUAGGGGGUGGGGAGGGGCGGAGGUACAGGCAUCUGCUGAGCAGGGGCCAGGGAUGCUGCUAAACUUCGUGCGGUGCACAGGACGGCCCCACUGUGGAGACGAUCCAGCCGAGCAGUAGCACCAAGGCCGAGACCCGCGGUGGCUCGUCUGGCCACGCGGUGUGCUCCGUGGCAGCUGUCAGACCCCGUGAGGGUGCUUUUAUUACUGUCACCUGGAGAGAGCACGUUGGACAGGCAGCGGGCGCCCCCGUCCUGGCCUCCGGUGGCUGUGCAGCCGAGGUGGGACCUUGCAGGUGGGCUGGGAGUUAGAAUGGCAUCGUCCACACUCUGCCAGGAGGACCAGCUCAGACGCCGGAGGUAACGGAAAUCUUUGCAAAAGUCCAAAGUGCUUUACAAGCACCAAGUAGGUUUUUUUUUUCUGGGUGGUUUUCAUCAACUCCUGCCCAAGGCCAUGCAAAAGGGUGGCAUCGAAGGGACCUCCGGCCUGGAACCCAACCCUUCCCCAUCAAAGCAGUUCCCAGCAGAGACAACACCAUUUGCAUGAACCACUUCUGACUGAGGCCGCACUUGUGGCUUGCAAGCUGUAAGCGUCCGGCCGCGAUUCAUGAGUGGCUUUGAUCACUGGGACCCCGAAGUGCUUCCCGCUUGGCUGCGGCACUGCCCCGCCAUCGUUUCCCCGCGGCAGGUCCACCGUCUGUACGUCAAUCACGACCCCCCUCUGCUCACUUUGAAAAGUUUCCUUUAUCUCGCUAGAAGCCUCUGGUUUCCUGGGAGCGGUCCACCUCUGAGAUGCUCUGCUGUUUUCGAGAUUGUUUGUCGUGUGUGUGUCCCUGGGAAGCUCGGUUCCAGGACGAGGAGCCGAGGAUGCCACCGUGGACAGGGCUCGCCGUGGCAAACUGGGGGCACGGUGCCUGUCACAACAGAGGCUCCAACCUGAUGCCCAGAGGCGUGACAGGCACCGUGGCGAUAGCUGAGCCAGGUGACCCCAGAGGAAGCUGCCAGCUCAGGCCUGGCCAGAUGCGUGCUGUGACCGCCGUGUGCCCCGCGUGGAGAGGCGGCCAGAGUGAUAGCCUUGCUGCUGACUUACAGGCAAUCUGGCUCAGCCCCCUCUCCCCACCUCUGCCCUCCGCCUCCCAGCUCAUCUGGGACCCCCCAGCUCAUGCCUUAGGGCGUGAAGGCCAUGCUUUGGGCCGCGUGCAGCAGAGCGCGUCCAGACGGUGAUGGGAGACAGGCUGGCCCUGCGCGGACGUCGGCCAGACGCCACACAAAGGACUGAUUGCAGGCUCAGCCAGAAGGCAGCUGUCCACAAGCCAGGGAGAGAGGCUUACAGUCACCAGCCCCGAUGGCACCUCGGUCCGCCUUGCAGGCUCCAGAACUCCGAGAGGGCAAAUGUCUGGGCAUGAGCACCCUGGCCAAUGGCAGUCCCAGCUGAGACUGUGAAAGUCCACCCACAACUUACAUCGUCCCCUGUCCUGCAGCCAGGGGACCUCGGACUGGUUUUGUUUGUUUGGGGCUCUCUUGGCAGCUUCCAUAGAAGCAAGGUGCUCCUUUCCUGGGAUGCUCCGGCUUGACAGCUGUCCGAGGCGGCCCCCAGGGUGGGGACGAGCCAGGCAAGGUAGCUGUGAGCCCAGAGGCCCUGCAUACGCCCUGCUGAGCAGUUCAGUUCCUCCGGUGUCCGCCUGCGGGAAGAUGUUGGUUUUCGCUGCACCUGCCAUCUGGACUCGAUGUCGUUGCCGUUCAGAAAACCGUGUGUUGGCAAACGGAAACUGCAAGGAUGCGCGGUCCCUCGGAGUCCGUGGUGUGCUCCGGGGGAGAGGGGACUUGUUCUCUUCAUGCAGUUCCACUUAACAAGUAUUUAUGGGUGCCUGUCAGGUGCCCAGGUCUUACUCCAGAUGCUGGAGAGAAGCAGGUAAACCAGUCAGAGAACAUCUGUGCCCACGUAGCUUCUGUUUUAGUCGGGAGAGGGUGCAGAAAAUGAACACCUACAAAAAUACCUAGUGGUGGCACAUAUUCCGAAGAAGACAAAAUGGGGUGUCGUGACGGUAGGGGUGGAAGAGGUCAGGGAGGCCUCUCAGAAGAGGGAGGCAGGAGCCGAGAUCAGAACGUCAAGAUUGAAGCAGCCAGGUGAGGAUCCGGAGAGGGCACGCCAGGCGGAGGGAGAGCAGUGCCAAGGUCCUGGGGUAGGAAUGAGCUUGGUGUGUCGGAGGAACCCGAGGGGGCGGGAGUGAGGGAAGAGGGGGAGCAUUAGGUCAAGUGGGAGCCAGGGGUCCCCGUGGGUUGGCUGAGGAGUUUGGAGGCUCGGGACAGCAGGAAGCCACGAGCAAGCUCAGGCGGGACGGGCUGAUGACAUUUUCAGAGGCUCCCUGGGGCUGCUGUGAGGGGUGAGCUCAGAGGGCAAAAACGGAAGUCCCAAGCCCGUCCUUCUCCUCAGCCCCUGCUCCCUGUCUGCUCCAGGCUGCAGCAUCUCACUGGGCUUCUCUCCCUCACCCUUUCUGCAGCCUCCUACCUGGUCUCCCUGCUUCCACUCUUGCCUCUCUAGGGACUGGCUCUAACGGGGCAGCCGGGUGCCCCCAUUCACUCCUCAUCUCGAACCCUCCGGAGGCUUCCGCCUCACCUGAGAAAAGCCAGAGUCCCCACGGGGGCCUGCGGGACCACACGAUCUCUUCUCCCCACCCCCUGCCCCUUCCCCUCCCCAACCAUCUCCCGAGGUCACCACCCAGACUUCCUUCAGGCCUCUUCCCCGCACCCAGCUCUUGCUACCCUCCCUUUCCUCCUGGCCCUUGUAGCCAUAGCUCCCGUGGCUGGUGUCUCUACUCCCGGGUGAGGGCACAGGUCAGGGGCUUCUGUUUGGUGCCCUGCCACCUCCCAGUAUGUAGACCAGCCCUCAGCCCCCAGUGAGGGCUCAGUCAGUACCUGUGUGCUAUUGUCAAAGUCCUGACUUGGAAGGCAAAGGGGGGCUAGUUCCAAGGAGGUCCUUGUGCACGGGGAAGGAUCCGGAUGGACUUGAAGACAGCCCACAGGGCUUGCUGUCCUCUCGGGGGUGAGGGUCGCCAAGGGGCCAACAUUCUUGCAGGGCUUUGCUUGAGCCGCUGAGGCCAUGGUGCAUGAAGGCACGGUGUGCACGUAAGGGAGAUGGGGAGGGAGCCCAUGGGGCAGGCAGGGGUCCAGGGUUCUGCCCGGCCCGGAGAGGUUUGAAACCUCACUAUCCGCACCAAGUUGCUGUGGAAGGAGGCAGCUGGUUGGAACUCUGAGGCUCAGGAGGGUCAUUAAGGCCAGAGGUAACAUCUGCAGGUCAGUGGCCCAGAUGUGUUAUUUGAAUCAGGGCCCAGUGAGAUCCCAAGGAAAGAUCAGGGAUGCCAAGGUCAAGCCAGGGAGGGCAGGUCCACACAUGUGCCUGGGGCACGUCAGCAUUUCAGGCAAACGAAAAGGUCCUCACCGGUUACGCACGUCUUUGUCCUCUGCUCUGGGGCCUGCCUUUUCAGGCGAGCUAUCCGGGUCCGCUCCGCAGCAUGUGUCCUGGAAAUGACUGCGAGAUAAAGUGGGGAACAGUGUGUGAGGGGGGCGCUCCACCCCCCUGGGGACAGGAUGAGUGAAUGUCAUUGCCCACCCUGCACUGGGUCAAGGACCCCAGCGACACAUGCCCUGGUCAUACUGUCCUCUCUCACACCCGGCCAGGGGUGGCUGGACUUCAAAGUCAUCUUCCGAAGACUGCAUUAACAAACUGGGAUGUGUGUCCUGGGGCUUCGAGGCCGUUCGUCGCUCCUGGGUCUCUUCAGUGAGAUCUCCCUGUUCUGAAACACGCCAAAGACUUCCUCUGUCCCACAAGUCCUGCACUGUGCCAGCCGCGGACUCCCCAAAGGUGAGGCCAGGAGGGCUGCAAGCCGGUUUCCUAGGAAACGUUAAAUCAGCCCCCUCCUCCCUCCAAAUCCCACUCUUUCAAUUUUCUUCUGGUGGACUGGUAUUUUCGCUGUGAUUCCGUCCCAGGCCUUCUGACCUAAUUCCAAUUUACUUGUUGGAGUUUCUUAUUUCCUCUCGACACUGACUCUGAUACACGAGGCUGUUUUAUCACUGGGUGGUUUUAAUUUUCAUACAGAGACUUGUGGUUUCCCAUUUUCUGUGUUUCCUUUGAGUUUCAGCCAACAGGAGCAUAACGCCUAUGAAAGGCACACGGAUUCCAUGGGCUGUUUGUUGAAUUAUUCAAAGUGCUCCUUUAUUAUUCCCUUUGUGUCAGUCUAUGUGGCUUCUUACCAGAGGCAUGACUUACAUGGUAGGCUACUGUGUGUCCAGUAUGGAUGAUCUUGAGGGGACAAGCAAGGGAAUGCAGCUUUGCCCCAGGAGAAGGUUGCUAUCAGCACAGCCAGAGAACAUUCACAGGAUCCAAGAUGGCAGAUGCAAACCCCCUGGCCCAGUAGGUCGGUGGGAUGUUGUGAAGGACGACUCUUAGCCAGAGCAGAAGUAGAAGCAAGCUCAUGGGAUGGGAAAUUCUUGGUAUUGUUGGAUUUUGGAUUGGUUCAUUCAUAUAGACAAUAAAUAUGUGCUAGACACGUA
Long non-coding RNA from Felis catus (domestic cat), 5944 nucleotides. RefSeq lists it as uncharacterized. The transcript has 4 exons. The record is from RefSeq and is a predicted model, not a curated record. Lineage: Eukaryota; Metazoa; Chordata; Mammalia; Carnivora; Felidae.